AAAAUACGAAAAGUAAUAUGAAUUGCAGAAACGAAUCAUCGAAUCUUUGAACGCACAUUGCGCCCUCUGGCAUUCCGGGGGGCAUGCCUGUCCGAGCGUCAUUACGCACCCUCAAGCCCGGCUUGUGUGAUGGGCCCUGGCGUCUCGUUCGCGAGACGGGCCCGAAAGGCAGCGGCGGCGUCGACCCGAUGAGCCCGAGCGUAUGGGGACUUUUGUCACACGUUUGCGGUGCGGACCGGCGCCUGCUUGACUUUUCUGAUUAUCCAGGUUGACCUCGGAUCAGGUAGGGAUACCCGCUGAACUUAAGC
This 308-nucleotide unclassified non-coding RNA is filed under the name plant metagenome. Its description in RNAcentral is "partial contains 5.8S ribosomal RNA, internal transcribed spacer 2, and large subunit ribosomal RNA". The stretch from base 1 to 101 matches the Rfam family "5.8S ribosomal RNA", at positions 50 to 154 of the family's 154-position model. The record is from RNAcentral.